ACACAUGCAGUCGAGCGCCUCGCWCGAAGAGCGKGGACAGGUGAGUAACGCGUGKGAAUCUACCCCUCUCUACRGAACAACAGUUGUAAACGACUGCUAAUACCGUAUACRCCCUUCGGGGGAAAGAUUUAUCGGAGAUGGAUGAGCCCGCGUUGGAUUUUAUAKUUGGUGGGGUAAAGGCCUACCCGGCGACAAUCCAUAKCUGGUCUGAGAGGAUGAUCUCCCACCUGGGACUGAGACAGGCCCCCACUCCUACGGGAGGCASCASUGGGGAAUAUUGKACAUGGGCGCAAGCCUGAUCCCCCAUGCCSCGUGUGUGAUGAARGCCCUAKGGUUGUGUGCACUUUCUCGGUGAAGAUAUGACGGUAACCGUAGAAGAAGCCCCGGCUAACUUCGUGCCCCASCCGCGGUAAUACGAAGGGGGCUAGCGUUGUUCGGAAUUACAGGGCGUAAAGCGCACGUAUGCGGAUCGUUAARUGAGGGGUGAAAUCCCAGGGCUCUCCCUGGAACUGCCUCUCAUACUGKGGAUCUUGAGUUCKAGAGAGGUGAG
Molecule: ribosomal RNA, 550 nt
Filed under: Hoeflea sp.
Lineage: Bacteria; Pseudomonadati; Pseudomonadota; Alphaproteobacteria; Hyphomicrobiales; Rhizobiaceae
Description: partial 16S ribosomal RNA
Source: RNAcentral